UCGGACUGGAGUCUGCAACCCGACUCCACGAAGCUGGAUUCGCUAGUAAUCGCGCAUCAGCCACGGCGCGGUGAAUACGUUCCCGGGCCUUGUACACACCGCCCGUCAAGCCAUGGGAGGCCGGGGGUACCUGAAGUGCGUAACCGCGAGGAUCGCCCUAGGGUAAAACUGGUGACUGGGGCUAAGUCGUAACAAGGUAGC
This 201-nucleotide ribosomal RNA is filed under the name uncultured bacterium. RNAcentral describes it as "partial 16S ribosomal RNA". It matches the Rfam family "Bacterial small subunit ribosomal RNA", at positions 1293 to 1500 of the family's 1533-position model. The record is from RNAcentral.